UGUCAAAAAAGCUAUAGAAGUCUUUUCCUCAUACUUGAAGGAUGGAGGCCAUGAUGCCCGAGACAUUGUUCGAAAUAUUGGGAGUCUAGAACAAAUCCUAGAAGAAACUGACGUAAAUGAAACUACGUACCUAUCAAGUGACCGUGUCAAUGCCCUUCUUUAUAAAUCCACAGAUGACUUCAAAAGUCUUGAAAUUCAAGCAAAUAACACAGAGGCCAAGGUAAAUGCCUCUGUGUCGAACAUUAAAAUUAAGAUUUGCAUACCGAGAGAGUUCAACCUUCAGAAGAAUGAUACAGUUGUUUUCUCCACGAUUGAAAUGCCAAAAAAUAUUGCUGAUCUACUUACAUCUAAUGGCUCUUUUGGACAAACUUCAGAAGCAAAUUAUUCACUGUAUGAUGAUCUGCUGGUUGGCCUGAGUGUGGCUGGCAAGAAUUUUUCAGGCCUUCAACAUCGAGUCAGCAUCAGCAUAUAUCUCACAACAAGCCUGAUGAAACCCCAAAAACCAACAUGUGUGUUCUUAAAUACUACAAACAGUGAGUAUUAAACAUAAGAAACAUCAUGAGAAGUAACAUAAAUCAGAAUUCCUUUUUUGUUGCAGACAUUAUCUAUGUCAUUGAAUGUUGUAUU
Long non-coding RNA from Poecilia latipinna (sailfin molly), 627 nucleotides. RefSeq lists it as uncharacterized. The record is from RefSeq and is a predicted model, not a curated record. The transcript has 5 exons. NCBI's taxonomy places the organism in Eukaryota, Metazoa, Chordata, Actinopteri, Cyprinodontiformes, Poeciliidae.